AUGCGAUAAGUAGUGUGAAUUGCAGAAUUCCGUGAAUCAUCGAAUCUUUGAACGCACAUUGCGCCUCCUGGUAUUCCGGGAGGCAUGCCUGUCCGAGCGUCAUCAAAAACCAUCAAGUUUGGAUUUAUUCAUCACUUGGUAUUGGAGCUGGAGUGCGCACAUGCCAUUCCUGUCCGAAAAUCAAUGGCAAUGUUGUCUGCACCAAUUAGCGUAGUAAUCAACAUUAUGUUUCGCUUUUGGACAGAAGAUGUUCUGCCGUUAACCCCCAAAUUCUAAGUUUUGACCUCGGAUCAGGUAGGGAUACCCGCUGAACUUAA
Molecule: ribosomal RNA, 317 nt
Filed under: uncultured Pulvinula
Lineage: Eukaryota; Fungi; Ascomycota; Pezizomycetes; Pezizales; Pyronemataceae
Description: eukaryotic LSU rRNA
Rfam family: 5.8S ribosomal RNA (bases 1-102)
Source: RNAcentral